This 434-nucleotide ribosomal RNA is filed under the name uncultured Robinsoniella sp. Its description in RNAcentral is "partial 16S ribosomal RNA". It matches the Rfam family "Bacterial small subunit ribosomal RNA", at positions 341 to 792 of the family's 1533-position model. The record is from RNAcentral. Lineage: Bacteria; Bacillati; Bacillota; Clostridia; Lachnospirales; Lachnospiraceae.
ACGGGAGGCAGCAGUGGGGAAUAUUGGACAAUGGGGGAAACCCUGAUCCAGCGACGCCGCGUGAGUGAAGAAGUGUUUCGGUAUGUAAAGCUCUAUCAGCAGGGAAGAUAAUGACGGUACCUGACUAAGAAGCCCCGGCUAACUACGUGCCAGCAGCCGCGGUAAUACGUAGGGGGCAAGCGUUAUCCGGAUUUACUGGGUGUAAAGGGAGCGUAGACGGCAAAGCAAGUCUGAUGUGAAAGGCAGGGGCUCAACUCCUGGACUGCAUUGGAAACUGUUUAGCUAGAGUGCAGGAGAGGUAAGUGGAAUUCCUAGUGUAGCGGUGAAAUGCGUAGAUAUUAGGAGGAACACCAGUGGCGAAGGCGGCUUACUGGACAGUAACUGACGCUGAGGCGCGAAAGCGUGGGGAGCAAACAGGAUUAGAUACCCUGGUA